RNAcentral lists this long non-coding RNA (328 nucleotides) under Struthio camelus australis. Its description in RNAcentral is "lncRNA (ENSSCUG00000018785.1)". Lineage: Eukaryota; Metazoa; Chordata; Aves; Struthioniformes; Struthionidae. The record is from RNAcentral.
CUGAACUAGUAAUUAAUCUUUUUGUUUGUUCUCUUUUGACGUAAUUCUCAGUAGUCCAAUGAGUACAACAGAAGAACUAAAACCAAAAAAUCAUCCGUUGGCUGAAAGAAUAGAAGUACACGUGAAUACUUCUUGUACUAAAUUUCUCUGCCAUAAAUAUCUCCUGCUGGUAGAUCCUGUCAGUUCAAAUGUCUCUCAAAGUCACCCGGAAAAGACUGCAACCACAGCUGAAUACAAGCACUUUUUCAGAAUCAUACUGAAGGUAAUGUUUUCCUUCUUUGCUCUUUACUUUGCCAUGAUUAGACUCCCUAUAGAUAGAACUGAGACA